AUACGGAGGGUGCGAGCGUUAAUCGGAAUUACUGGGCGUAAAGGGUGCGUAGGCGGCUUGAUAAGUCGGAUGUGAAAGCCCCGGGCUUAACCUGGGAAUUGCAUUCGAUACUGUCAGGCUAGAGUAUGUCAGAGGUUGGCGGAAUUCCUGGUGUAGCGGUGAAAUGCGUAGAUAUCAGGAGGAACACCAGUGGCGAAGGCGGCUAACUGGGGCAAUACUGACGCUGAGGCACGAAAGCGUGGGGAGCAAACAGGAUUAGAAACCCGAGUAGUCC
This 274-nucleotide ribosomal RNA is filed under the name uncultured bacterium. RNAcentral describes it as "partial 16S ribosomal RNA". It matches the Rfam family "Bacterial small subunit ribosomal RNA", at positions 523 to 796 of the family's 1533-position model. The record is from RNAcentral.